RNAcentral lists this ribosomal RNA (332 nucleotides) under Triticum aestivum (bread wheat). RNAcentral describes it as "partial small subunit ribosomal RNA". Lineage: Eukaryota; Viridiplantae; Streptophyta; Magnoliopsida; Poales; Poaceae. The record is from RNAcentral.
CCUUAUGACGCUCUCCUACUCCAAGCAAGAGGUCGGUCCAGAUUCGUGCCCGUUAAAGCAGACAGGAAGGAAGAAGGCUCCGCCUCAUCAAGGUCUUUAUUCAGUGAGGGAGUGCCUCUGAGUUGGACGCCAUGGUGCCGUGGAGGCUGGAGGCGCGACUGGCAGAGACGGUGAGGGCAGCGCUCCUCGGCUGGCUCUUCUUCUGCAUCACCGUCGCCAGCGAUGUCGCAUAUGCGCUCAGAAGCAGCGAUCUCUCCAUCUAAGGCCGGCCACGUUCAACAUCGCCGGCUGCCUUUUCAACUCUGCGCCUACAAAGUGGCAGUUCAUUGGAC